Molecule: transfer RNA, 84 nt
Organism: Clostridium sp. CAG:167
Lineage: Bacteria; Bacillati; Bacillota; Clostridia; Eubacteriales; Clostridiaceae
Rfam family: tRNA
About the family: Transfer RNA (tRNA) molecules are approximately 80 nucleotides in length. Their secondary structure includes four short double-helical elements and three loops (D, anti-codon, and T loops).
Source: Rfam
GCGGAUGUGGCGGAAUUGGCAGACGCACAAGACUCAAAAUCUUGCGGUGGUGACAUCGUGCGGGUUCAAGUCCCGCCAUCCGCA